GCCAACACUUAUAUGCCCUUUAACUUUCUUGUACACUACCGAUGUGGAACUUAUUCCCACAAGUGAUAUGCCAUCUCUCCUCUCAACUGGCAACUGGAACAUUCAAUCGACGCUUGAAACCUGAAAUUGAAAUGUAGCGGUAACAUCAGGAAAUUGAACUGAAACUGAAAUCAAGUGCUGACCUGCUUUGAUACUAUUUUGAGAACUUGUGGACCCAAUAGUGUUAAUAUCAAACUGACAGGUUACACACUGAACUGGGCUUGAAAUUGGGCUCUCCGUCAGCAAAAUGGCCUAAAACCAUUUUGGUUUAGUUUGCCA
RNAcentral lists this unclassified non-coding RNA (318 nucleotides) under Hevea brasiliensis (rubber tree). The record is from RNAcentral. Lineage: Eukaryota; Viridiplantae; Streptophyta; Magnoliopsida; Malpighiales; Euphorbiaceae.